Molecule: long non-coding RNA, 500 nt
Filed under: Anas platyrhynchos platyrhynchos (common mallard)
Lineage: Eukaryota; Metazoa; Chordata; Aves; Anseriformes; Anatidae
Description: lncRNA (ENSAPLG00000021251.1)
Source: RNAcentral
CUGCCUGUCUGUCCUUUUAUAUGGCACCUCCCAACAUAGUGUCUGAGUGCAAAGUUCUUCACCCUCAUCUGAUUUAAAACUUUAAAUGGACGCUGUGAAGACCUAUCGUCCAUAGUAAACUGCUCAAGAUGAAUCAGCUGUUCAGAUUAUCCUCACAGAAAUGAUAAUGGGGUUCUGUGUUCACAGCUGAGUUAUUUAAACUGUCUGAUUUGGUCCACAGCUUCCUUGGACAUUAAUAGGUUGACUGCUAUGUCGCUGAACUUAGUGCAUGAAAGGUCAGCCUUUGAAACGCUAAAUAAGUUGAAGAGGAUGUAGAAAAUAUAUCACAUAUGGGAAAGUGUGCAUCCUACAGUGGCAUUUGUGUUAAAGGGCCACUUUGUGGGAGAAUACAGGCUACAGACCCCGCCACAGGAGUGCCAGUCUGUGAUGAUUAAAUUACAGCUACUGGUCAAGAAGGAGAAAUGAAAUCAAGGAAAAUGGAUCUGGGGGACCUAUAACAC